This 385-nucleotide ribosomal RNA is filed under the name Syncephalis sp. KL-2016a. RNAcentral describes it as "bacterial SSU rRNA". It matches the Rfam family "Eukaryotic small subunit ribosomal RNA", at positions 1462 to 1831 of the family's 1831-position model. The record is from RNAcentral. Lineage: Eukaryota; Fungi; Zoopagomycota; Zoopagomycetes; Zoopagales; Piptocephalidaceae.
CUGUGAUGCCCUUAGAUGUUCUGGGCCGCACGCGCGCUACACUGACGGAGCCAACGAGUUCUGGCGCAAGCCGUUCCUUGGCCGAAAGGUCUAGGUAAUCUUGUUAAACUCCGUCGUGCUGGGGAUAGUCUUUUGUAACAUCUGACUUGAACGAGGAAUUCCUAGUAAGCGCGGUUCAUCAGAUCGCGUUGAUUACGUCCCUGCCCUUUGUACACACCGCCCGUCGCUACUACCGAUUGAAUGGCUUAGUGAGACCCUCGGAUUGGCGCAUAGCUGCCGGCAACGGCUGGUAGUGCCGAGAAGUUGGUCAAACUUGGUCAUUUAGAGGAAGUAAAAGUCGUAACAAGGUAUCCGUAGGUGAACCUGCGGAUGGAUCAUUAACGUG